CAAGACCUUGCGCUUUUGGAGCGGCCGAUGCCUGAUUAGCUAGUUGGUUAGGUAAAGGCUUACUAAUGCAUCGAUCAGUAGCUGGGCUGAGAGCACGACCAUCCACACUAGGACUGAGACACGGCCCAGACUCCUACGGGAGGCAGCAGUGGGGAAUUUUGGACAAUGGGGGAAACCCUGAUCCAGCCAUGCCGCGUGAGUGAAGAAGGCCUUCGGGUUGUAAAGCUCUUUCAGCCGGAACGAAACGGUCACGGUUAAUACCCGUGACAACUGACGGUACCGGAAGACGAAGCACCGGCUAACUACGUGCCAGCAGCCGCGGUAAUACGUAGGGUGCAAGCGUUAAUCGGAAUUACUGGGCGUAAAGCGUGCGCAGGCGGUUUUGUAAGUCAGAUGUGAAAUCCCCGGGCUUAACCUGGGAACU
RNAcentral lists this ribosomal RNA (424 nucleotides) under uncultured Nitrosospira sp. Its description in RNAcentral is "bacterial SSU rRNA". It matches the Rfam family "Bacterial small subunit ribosomal RNA", at positions 207 to 622 of the family's 1533-position model. Lineage: Bacteria; Pseudomonadati; Pseudomonadota; Betaproteobacteria; Nitrosomonadales; Nitrosomonadaceae. The record is from RNAcentral.